GCUUGUCUCAAAGAUUAAGCCAUGCAUGUCUAAGUAUAAACGACUUUAUACUGUGAAACUGCGAAUGGCUCAUUAUAUCAGUUAUAGUUUAUUUGAUGGUCCUUGCUACUUGGAUAACCGUAGUAAUUCUAGAGCUAAUACAUGCAUCAAGCCCCGACUUCUGGAAGGGGUGUAUUUAUUAGAUUCAAACCAUCGGCCUUCACGGGUCUUUGAUGGUGAGUCAUAAUAACUGAGCGAAUCGAAUGGCCUUGUGCCGUCGAUGCUUCAUUCAAAUUUCUGCCCUAUCAGCUUUCGAUGGUAGGAUCUUGGCCUACCAUGGCUAUAACGGGUAACGGGGAAUUAGGGUUCGAUUCCGGAGAGGGAGCUUGAGAAACGGCUACCACAUCUAAGGAAGGCAGCAGG
Molecule: ribosomal RNA, 402 nt
Filed under: uncultured Centroheliozoa
Lineage: Eukaryota; Centroplasthelida
Description: partial small subunit ribosomal RNA
Rfam family: Eukaryotic small subunit ribosomal RNA
Source: RNAcentral